RNAcentral lists this ribosomal RNA (253 nucleotides) under uncultured bacterium. RNAcentral describes it as "partial 16S ribosomal RNA". It matches the Rfam family "Bacterial small subunit ribosomal RNA", at positions 524 to 776 of the family's 1533-position model. The record is from RNAcentral.
UACGGAGGGUGCAAGCAUUGAUCGGAAUUAUUGGGCGUAAAGGGUGCGUAGGCGGUAAUGUAAGUCGGAUGUGAAAUUCCACGGCUCAACUGUGGAGCUGCAUUCGAAACUGCAUAACUGGAGCGUAGUUAGGGAAAACGGAAUUCCACGUGUAGCGGUGAAAUGCGUAGAUAUGUGGAAGAACACCAGUGGUGAAGACGGUUUUCUGGGCUAUAGCUGACGCUGAGGCACGAAAGCUAGGGGAGCAAACAGG